UCUAAUGAAUGUGUCGACCUUUGUUUUUCGAUUAGUUAUUUCGUUUUAAAUGUGUAACGUUAGAAACAAGGACCUAUUUGUUUUUUAGCGCAAGUCCACAUAGUAGUACGGUUUCCGGUUUUUUCUUCUUCUUCGAAGAAAAGCAUAGCGUUGAAGUCGCGCAAUGGUGUGCUGCCUAGGUCUACUUCCUGAAUUUGUAAAGAGAUCCUCUAGCCGUGACCUUCUCUGUGCGGAUCAAGAUGAAAGAGGCAGGUCUGUAUGAAAGGUUUCCUGAGAAUGCCAAGCUCCUUGUGGACUUUAAAAAGUACCUAACUGAGAGCUUGAAGGUCCUCAACUGCCAACAGGAGCUCUGAACUUCGUCACUUCGAAGAGCACAGAGACCAGACAUUAUCUGACCAGCCUACACCGCACGGACAUUAGUGCAGCCACCGUACUCAACUACAUCAAGAACAUUAUCAGGUUCUUAGGUUACCUCAAGACAAGGCUGGAUUUGGAACAGACAGACGUAUGGCCACAUUGGUGCUUAAGUGAUAAGCUUAUGUUAAAUAAUUUUUUUAAACUGUUAUGGCCACAUGUUAGGCUAAGUGAUAGGCUUAUGUUCAAUGAUAAAAAAAGACAUCUAUUUGGAAAAAUGAUGGAAUGAUUGGAAAUAAAACAAUUUAUUGAUUUCUAAUGC
Anguilla rostrata (American eel) is the source of this 676-nucleotide long non-coding RNA. RefSeq lists it as uncharacterized. The record is from RefSeq and is a predicted model, not a curated record. Lineage: Eukaryota; Metazoa; Chordata; Actinopteri; Anguilliformes; Anguillidae. The transcript has 3 exons.